This 77-nucleotide transfer RNA is filed under the name Candidatus Omnitrophota bacterium. RNAcentral describes it as "tRNA-Met". It matches the Rfam family "tRNA". From Rfam's summary of the family: Transfer RNA (tRNA) molecules are approximately 80 nucleotides in length. Their secondary structure includes four short double-helical elements and three loops (D, anti-codon, and T loops). Further hydrogen bonds mediate the characteristic L-shaped molecular structure. tRNAs have two regions of fundamental functional importance: the anti-codon, which is responsible for specific mRNA codon recognition, and the 3' end, to which the tRNAs corresponding amino acid is attached (by aminoacyl-tRNA synthetases). tRNAs cope with the degeneracy of the genetic code in two manners: having more than one tRNA (with a specific anti-codon) for a particular amino acid; and 'wobble' base-pairing, i.e. permitting non-standard base-pairing at the 3rd anti-codon position. The record is from RNAcentral. Lineage: Bacteria; Pseudomonadati; Candidatus Omnitrophota.
GGCGAGGUAGCUCAGUUGGUUAGAGCGCACGGCUCAUACCCGUGUUGUCGGCGGUUCGAACCCGCCCCUCGCUACCA